GACGAACGCUGGCGGUGUGCUUAACACAUGCAAGUCGAACGGUAAGGCCCUUUCGGGGGUACACGAGUGGCGAACGGGUGAGUAACACGUGAGUAACCUGCCCUCAUCUCUGGGAUAACAGUCGGAAACGGUUGCUAAUACUGGAUAUGAGCUUGCAAGGCAUCUUGUGGGUUGGAAAGAUUUUUUUGGUUGGGGAUGGACUCGCGGCCUAUCAGCUUGUUGGUGAGGUAGUGGCUCACCAAGGCUUCGACGGGUAGUCGGCCUGAGAGGGCGACCGGCCACAGUGGGACUGAGAUACGGCCCAAACUCCUACGGGAGGCAGCAGUGGGGAAUAUUGCACAAUGGACGGAAGUCUGAUGCAGCAACGCCGCGUGCGGGAUGACGGCCUUCGGGUUGUAAACCGCUUUCAAUUGUGACGAAGCUUUUUGUGACGGUAGCAGUAGAAGAAGCACCGGCUAACUACGUG
RNAcentral lists this ribosomal RNA (466 nucleotides) under uncultured bacterium. Its description in RNAcentral is "partial 16S ribosomal RNA". It matches the Rfam family "Bacterial small subunit ribosomal RNA", at positions 28 to 507 of the family's 1533-position model. The record is from RNAcentral.